GCGUUGUCCGGAUUUACUGGGCGUAAAGAGCGCGCAGGCGGUCGGAUAAGUCGAAUGUGAAAGCCCCCGGCUCAACUGGGGAGGGUCAUUCGAUACUGUUCGACUCGAAGGCAGGAGAGGGAAGUGGAAUUCCCGGUGUAGUGGUGAAAUGCGUAGAUAUCGGGAGGAACACCAGUGGCGAAGGCGACUUUCUGGCCUGUUCUUGACGCUGAGGCGCGAAAGCUAG
Molecule: ribosomal RNA, 226 nt
Filed under: uncultured bacterium
Lineage: Bacteria
Description: partial 16S ribosomal RNA
Rfam family: Bacterial small subunit ribosomal RNA
Source: RNAcentral